Molecule: ribosomal RNA, 800 nt
Filed under: uncultured crenarchaeote
Lineage: Archaea; Thermoproteati; Thermoproteota
Description: bacterial SSU rRNA
Rfam family: Archaeal small subunit ribosomal RNA
Source: RNAcentral
UUCCGGUUGAUCCUGCCGGACCCGACUGCUAUCAGAGUGGGCCUAAGCCAUGCGAGUCGUACGCCCUCCAACCAUGGGGAGGGCGUGGCGAACGGCUCAGUAACACGUAGUCAACCUACCCUGAAGAGGUGGAUAACCCCGGGAAACUGGGACUAAUCCGCCAUAGAUCAGGAUUCCUGGAACGGGUCUUGAUCCAAAGGAGUGGGCAGGCAUGUUCUGCCUACUUGCUUCAGGAUGGGACUGCGGCCGAUCAGGUCGUUGGUGGGGUAAUGGCCCACCAAGCCAGUAACCGGUACGGGCUUUGAGAGAAGGAGCCCGGAGAUGGACACUGAGAUAAGGGUCCAGGCCCUACGGGGCGCAGCAGGCGCGAAAACUUCGCAAUGCGCGAAAACGCGACGAGGCUACCCUGAGUGUCGUCCGCUGAGGACGACUUUUACUAGGUUUAAAAGGCCUAGGGAAUAAGGGGAGGGCAAGUCUGGUGUCAGCCGCCGCGGUAAUACCAGCUCCUCGAGUGGUCGGGACGUUUAUUGGGCCUAAAGCAUCCGUAGCUGGCCCUGUAGGUCUCCCGUUAAAUUCAACGGCUUAACCGUUGAGCUGCAGGAGAUACCGCAGGGCUAGGAGGCGGGAGAGGCGGACGGUACUCCGGGGGGUAGGGGUAAAAUCCACUGAUCCUCGGAAGACCACCAGUGGCGAAGGCGGUCCGCCAGAACGCGCUCGACAGUGAGGGAUGAAAGCUGGGGGAGCGAACCGGAUUAGAUACCCGGGUAGUCCCAGCUGUAAACGAUGCGAGCUAGGUGAUG